This 77-nucleotide transfer RNA is filed under the name Clostridiaceae bacterium. RNAcentral's name for it is "tRNA-Arg". It matches the Rfam family "tRNA". From Rfam's summary of the family: Transfer RNA (tRNA) molecules are approximately 80 nucleotides in length. Their secondary structure includes four short double-helical elements and three loops (D, anti-codon, and T loops). Lineage: Bacteria; Bacillati; Bacillota; Clostridia; Eubacteriales; Clostridiaceae. The record is from RNAcentral. RNAcentral also lists the same sequence under 3 other names.
GUCUCCGUACCUCAGCAGGAUAGAGGGUCCGCCUCCUAAGCGGAACGUCGCAGGUUCGAUUCCUGUCGGGGACGCCA